GGCAGACCCUUUCACCGUGGCCCUUGGGCUGUGGGGCCGCUCAGGGCAGGGCGGGGCCUCCUGCCACACGUGUCACGCGUGUGUGGUGUGUGCCCUGUGUGUCCCUCAGCUGUUCCACACUGACACUGCCGGCUGCAUGGAGGUCAUUCGGGAGAGGAAGGCCCGGCCGCCCACCCUGCCCCAGGCCGGGGCUCAGGCGCCGAGUGCCCAGAGCACCCCAGGCCACCUUCCGAGCCAGGUGACAGCCCAAGGCGCUGCAGCAAAGAGACCCAGGCGGGCAGCGGGCAGGGGAGAC
Molecule: long non-coding RNA, 295 nt
Organism: Myotis brandtii (Brandt's bat)
Lineage: Eukaryota; Metazoa; Chordata; Mammalia; Chiroptera; Vespertilionidae
Exons: 3
Source: RefSeq, a predicted model, not a curated record